AACGUAGGUGGCGAGCGUUAUCCGGAUUUACUGGGCGUAAAGGGUGUGCAGGCGGGGUAUCAAGUGGUGUAUGAAAGGGCGCGGCUCAACCGCGCUAGGUUAUGCCAGACUGAUGCUCUUGAGGACCAAACAGGGCUGUGGAAUUCCUGGUGUAGCGGUGGAAUGCGCAGAUAUCAGGAGGAACACCAAUAGCGAAGGCAGCUCGCUGGGACGGUACUGACGCUGAGGCGCGAAAGCGUGGGAGCGAACAGG
RNAcentral lists this ribosomal RNA (252 nucleotides) under uncultured bacterium. RNAcentral describes it as "partial 16S ribosomal RNA". It matches the Rfam family "Bacterial small subunit ribosomal RNA", at positions 524 to 776 of the family's 1533-position model. The record is from RNAcentral.